ACGGGGUGGAGGUAACGCGUGGGUAACGUGCCUUGUACUGGGGGACAACAGUUAGAAAUGACUGCUAAUACCGCAUAAGCGCACAGUAUCGCAUGAUACAGUGUGAAAAACUCCGGUGGUACAAGAUGGACCCGCGUCUGAUUAGCUAGUUGGUAAGGUAACGGCUUACCAAGGCGACGAUCAGUAGCCGACCUGAGAGGGUGACCGGCCACAUUGGGACUGAGACACGGCCCAA
This 235-nucleotide ribosomal RNA is filed under the name uncultured bacterium. RNAcentral's name for it is "partial 16S ribosomal RNA". It matches the Rfam family "Bacterial small subunit ribosomal RNA", at positions 104 to 334 of the family's 1533-position model. The record is from RNAcentral.